GAUCAUGGCUCAGGAUGAACGCUGGCGGCGUGCUUAACACAUGCAAGUCGAGCGAAGCGAUUUAAAUGAGACUUCGGUGGAUUUUAAAUUGACUGAGCGGCGCACGGGUGAGUAACGCGUAUCCAACCUGCCCAUCACUUGGGAAUAACCUUGCGAAAGUAAGACUAAUGCCCAAUGAUAUCCCACGAAGGCAUCCGAAUGGGAUUAAAAGAUUUAUCGGUGAUGGAUGGGGAUGCG
Molecule: ribosomal RNA, 237 nt
Filed under: uncultured bacterium
Lineage: Bacteria
Description: partial 16S ribosomal RNA
Rfam family: Bacterial small subunit ribosomal RNA
Source: RNAcentral